CCUACGGGAGGCAGCAGUGGGGAAUCUUGGGCAAUGGAGGCAACUCUGACCCAGCAACGCCGCGUGAAUGAUGAAGGUCUUCGGAUUGUAAAGUUCUGUGAUGGGGGAGGAACACAAUGACGGUACCCCAAUAGCAAGCCACGGCUAACUACGUGCCAGCCACCGCGGUAAUACGUAGGUGGCAAACGUUAUCCGGAAGGAAUGGGCGUAAAGGGUGCGUAGGCGGUUUAGUAAGUUGGCGGUGAAAUUCCGGGGCUCAACCCCGGCGCUACCGCAAAAACUAUUAGACUGGAGUGCAGGAGGGGUAAGUGGAAUUCCUAGUGUAGCGGUGGAAUGCGUAGAUAUUAGGAGGAACAUCAGGGGCGAAGGCGACUUACUGGACUGUAAAUGACACUGAGGCACGAAAGCGUGGGGAGCAAACAGGAUUAGAUACCCUUGUAGUC
RNAcentral lists this ribosomal RNA (443 nucleotides) under uncultured bacterium. Its description in RNAcentral is "partial 16S ribosomal RNA". It matches the Rfam family "Bacterial small subunit ribosomal RNA", at positions 338 to 795 of the family's 1533-position model. The record is from RNAcentral.